This 209-nucleotide long non-coding RNA is filed under the name Nicotiana benthamiana. Its description in RNAcentral is "long non-coding RNA (NBEN_LNC022303)". Lineage: Eukaryota; Viridiplantae; Streptophyta; Magnoliopsida; Solanales; Solanaceae. The record is from RNAcentral.
UCAGGCCCGGGGACUACCACAUCCUUACCUCCUCAUUUACAGUCCUCUAGGAUUAUGAAAAGGGUAUAUUUGUUAAUGGAUCAUAUAUAUAUAUCGAUGCCCCUUCACUUAGGUCUUGUUUGGUUGAGGCCUUCUCGACUUUGAAGUUGUGGACAAUUGAAUAGCCCCAGCGAAUAAAGCUUUUCAUAGAGGCUCCGGGUCUGCUUCGG